Molecule: long non-coding RNA, 626 nt
Organism: Paramisgurnus dabryanus
Lineage: Eukaryota; Metazoa; Chordata; Actinopteri; Cypriniformes; Cobitidae
Source: RefSeq, a predicted model, not a curated record
AAAUACAUUUUCUGUCCAGCCAUCAGUUUUAUGUAAAAAAUGUGUUUGAUUUAAAUUAAAAGUAAGUCCUGUUGGUGUAAAGUAAAUAAAUUUCUGUAAAUUAAAGUAAAAAUAUUAGUUUCCAUUGUCACGUGACUUACGUAACGUCAUCCUGGUCGUGCGUGAGGACGUUCAGCUGAAGUUCAGCUUUCCGCCAUCUUGUUAUACACUGCACCGAUGGAUGAACUCCGCGCCGUACAAUGGGAUUCAAGAAAAUUGGCCAAUCAUAUACCAUCCCUGGAGAGACAUCAGCAAACAUUAUGACAAAGACGUUUGCCUUACGCAGACAAGAGAUUGUGGAAAACCAACCUACUGUUCAAGAACUGCAAGAAAGAUUGCCAGAGGAGAUUAAUGCAGAAUUGCGCAUCACGAUCUUACCUUGAAAAUCAAGAUUUAUGGCCUCUUUGGACAGACAGAGCUCUCAUGUUAUUAGGAGCAACGGUGGAGUCCUCCAUGAAAAACUAAGGACACUAUUAAAGUUAUGGAUCAGAGUCUGGACGUAGAAAUCAGAAGAGAAAGCCUGCUGAAGUGCCUGAUUCAUGUACUAUUCAUGUGAAGAUGCAAGCUGUCUGAUCAAAGAAUACCAG